Molecule: long non-coding RNA, 246 nt
Organism: Pocillopora damicornis (cauliflower coral)
Lineage: Eukaryota; Metazoa; Cnidaria; Anthozoa; Scleractinia; Pocilloporidae
Source: RefSeq, a predicted model, not a curated record
AGGUUCCAAACUGCGUGAAUUCAGACUUCUGGAAUCGUUGAAACUUCAAGAAGAUUCACGUAGAUAUUUGCUAAACAUGAGAAACUUGGUCAUUUUGUUGAUUUUCGUGAGCUGUGCAUUGUCUGUGGCGGCUGCUUGCAAGGAUAAAAACAAACGUUGUAAAUCCUGGGCAUUGAGCGGUGAAUGCAAAAAAAAUCCAAAGUUCAUGGUGAUCAAUUGCCCCAGAAGUUGCACAAUCUGUCCAGG